AAAACGGCUCCUUUAAGAGCCAUCAAUAAAAUAAUUACAACGAAUU
This 46-nucleotide non-coding RNA is filed under the name Paramuricea clavata. It matches the Rfam family "Histone 3' UTR stem-loop". From Rfam's summary of the family: The mRNAs of metazoan histone genes lack a poly-A tail. 3' end processing occurs at a site between a highly conserved stem-loop (modelled by this family) and a purine rich region around 20 nts downstream (the histone downstream element, or HDE). The stem-loop is bound by a 31 kDa stem-loop binding protein (SLBP - also termed the histone hairpin binding protein, or HBP). The record is from RNAcentral. Lineage: Eukaryota; Metazoa; Cnidaria; Anthozoa; Malacalcyonacea; Plexauridae.